GCGGUUUGCGGCAGACUAUACAUGCAAGUCGAACGCACAGCGAAAGGUGCUUGCACCUUUCAAGUGAGUGGCGAACGGGUGAGUAACACGUGGACAACCUGCCUCAAGGCUGGGGAUAACAUUUGGAAACAGAUGCUAAUACCGAAUAAAACUUAGUGUCGCAUGACAAAAAGUUAAAAGGCGCUUCGGCGUCACCUAGAGAUGGAUCCGCGGUGCAUUAGUUAGUUGGUGGGGUAAAGGCCUACCAAGACAAUGAUGCAUAGCCGAGUUGAGAGACUGAUCGGCCACAUUGGGACUGAGACACGGCCCAAACUCCUACGGGAGGCUGCAGUAGGGAAUCUUCCACAAUGGGCGAAAGCCUGAUGGAGCAACGCCGCGUGUGUGAUGAAGGCUUUCGGGUCGUAAAGCACUGUUGUAUGGGAAGAACAGCUAGAAUAGGAAAUGAUUUUAGUUUGACGGUACCAUACCAGAAAGGGACGGCUAAAUACGUGCCAGCAGCCGCGGUAAUACGUAUGUCCCGAGCGUUAUCCGGAUUUAUUGGGCGUAAAGCGAGCGCAGACGGUUUAUUAAGUCUGAUGUGAAAGCCCGGAGCUCAACUCCGGAAUGGCAUUGGAAACUGGUUAACUUGAGUGCAGUAGAGGUAAGUGGAACUCCAUGUGUAGCGGUGGAAUGCGUAGAUAUAUGGAAGAACACCAGUGGCGAAGGCGGCUUACUGGACUGCAACUGACGUUGAGGCUCGAAAGUGUGGGUAGCAAAACAGGAUUAGAUACCCUGGUAGUCCACACCGUAACGAUGAACACUAGGUGUUAGGAGGUUUCCGCCUCUUAGUGCCGAAGCUAACGCAUUAAGUGUUCCGCCUGGGGAGUACGACCCGCAAGGUUGAAACUCCAAGGAAUUGACGGGGACCCGCAAAAGCGGUGGAGCAUGUGUAUUUAUUCGAAGCAACGCGAAGAACCUUAUCAGGUCUUGACAUCCUUUGAAUCUUUAAAAGAUAGAAGUGUUCUCUUCGUAAACAAAGUGGUCAGGUGGUGCAUGGUCGUCGUCUACUUCGUU
This 1053-nucleotide ribosomal RNA is filed under the name Leuconostoc mesenteroides. RNAcentral's name for it is "bacterial SSU rRNA". It matches the Rfam family "Bacterial small subunit ribosomal RNA", at positions 33 to 1065 of the family's 1533-position model. Lineage: Bacteria; Bacillati; Bacillota; Bacilli; Lactobacillales; Lactobacillaceae. The record is from RNAcentral.